This 267-nucleotide ribosomal RNA is filed under the name uncultured bacterium. Its description in RNAcentral is "partial 16S ribosomal RNA". It matches the Rfam family "Bacterial small subunit ribosomal RNA", at positions 524 to 776 of the family's 1533-position model. The record is from RNAcentral.
UACGUAGGGGGCGAGCGUUGUCCGAAGUUACUGGGCGUAAAGAGUACGUAGGUGGCUUGUUAAGAUACAUCUGAAAGGUGACAGCUCAACUGUCAAUGGUGGUGUAAGACUGGCAGGCUUGGAGGCAAGCAGAAGAGUGUGGAACUCCGAGUGUAGCGGUGGAAUGCGUAGAGAUUCGGAAGAACACCCAUGGCGAAGGCAGCACUCUGGGCUUGAACCGCAAGGUGAACCUGACACUGAGGUACGAAAGCCAGGGGAGCGAACGGG